Non-coding RNA from Cinara cedri, 214 nucleotides. NCBI's taxonomy places the organism in Eukaryota, Metazoa, Arthropoda, Insecta, Hemiptera, Aphididae. The record is from the annotation of a GenBank genome assembly.
GAACCUGUUAAGAAUCUUGGAGAGAUGAGGUAAAAUAGGCAUAGAUUUAAGAAAGAGGUAUAUCUAUUCAAAACAAGUGAUAUAAGUCGAAAGCAAUUUGAAAAAAUCAGAGCAAUUUUAGAAAAUAGUAGAAAAAGAACAAAACCAAGAAAACUUGACUUAUAUCAUGUGUUUUAUGGAGUGCUAUACGUCCUAAAAAGUGGCUGCCAGUAGA